This 420-nucleotide ribosomal RNA is filed under the name uncultured bacterium. RNAcentral's name for it is "bacterial SSU rRNA". It matches the Rfam family "Bacterial small subunit ribosomal RNA", at positions 355 to 772 of the family's 1533-position model. The record is from RNAcentral.
UGAGGAAUAUUGGGCAAUGCCCGCAAGGGUGACCCAGCAACGCCGCGUGGAGGAUGAAUGUCGUAAGAUUGUAAACUCCUGUUAGAGGGGAAGAAUAGUACCGGUUGGACCGGUAUAUGACUGUACCCUCAGAGAAAGCCCCGGCUAACUACGUGCCAGCAGCCGCGGUAAUACGUAGGGGGCAAGCGUUGUCCGGAUUUACUGGGUGUAAAGGGCGCGCAGGCGGGAUAAAAAGUCAGUGGUGAAAUCCUACAGCUUAACUGUAGAACUGCCUUUGAUACUUUUAUUCUUGAGUUCGGGAGAGAGAGACGGAAUUCCAGGUGUAGUGGUGGAAUACGUAGAUAUCUGGAAGAACACCAGUUGCGAAGGCGGUCUCUUGGUCCGACACUGACGCUGAGGCGCGAAAGCGUGGGGAGCAAA